This 508-nucleotide ribosomal RNA is filed under the name uncultured bacterium. RNAcentral's name for it is "partial 16S ribosomal RNA". It matches the Rfam family "Bacterial small subunit ribosomal RNA", at positions 28 to 523 of the family's 1533-position model. The record is from RNAcentral.
GAUGAACGCUAGCUACAGGCUUAACACAUGCAAGUCGAGGGGCAGCGGUAUCGAAAGCUUGCUUUCGGUAGCCGGCGACCGGCGCACGGGUGAGUAACGCGUAUCGAACUUGCCUCAUACUCGGGAAUAGCCUUGCGCAAGUAAGAAUAAUGCCCGUUGUUUUCAGAGUCCCGCAUGAGGCUUUGAACAAAGAUUUAUCGGUAUUAGCUGGCGAUGCCUCCCAUUAGCUUGUUGGCGGGGUAACGGCCCACCAAGGGAUCGAUGGUUAGGGGUUCCGAGAGGAAGGUCCCCCACAUUGGAACUGAGACACGGUCCAAACUCCGACGGGAGGCAGCAGUGAGGAAUAUUGGUCAAUGGGCGGAAGCCUGAACCAGCCAAGUAGCAUGCAGGAAGACGGCCCUCCGGGUUGUAAACUGCUUUUAGUUGGGAAUAAAACGGGGCUCGUGAGCCCCCUUGCACGUACCAUCAGAAAAAGGACCGGCUAAUUCCGUGCCAGCCGCCGCGGUAA